GUGUUAUCCAAUCUAGCCGGGUGAGAAUGUGUGAACUUUCCAUUGUUUACAUAAAUAUGAGAGUGCCGGCAAUUGUGUAUGCUCAUUUGAUUUUAGCUUAAUCUUGCUGUCAUUAAUGUGUUGGAUGUUGUGGAUAUGAUCAAGGCCAUGUUUCUUUUUGAGUGAUAACUACUUGGCCAAAUUUAACCUACCUUGUGAGAUAGUGAUCUUUUGUGUCCCCUGUUGAGCCUUAAAUUUUGAAAAUUGUUUGUUAAACCCUGAAACCGAAAGAAUGGAAAAACAACUACUCUACCCUUGUCUUAGGAUAGGAGAGCAAUUGUAUUUCAACUAGGGUUAUGAUAAGAUUUAAGUUGGGGAGAAGUAGGUUACAAAAGUUACAAAAAUAAAAUGGUUUGAAAAGUAGUUGAUUUGGUGAUUAAAAUGUGUGAGAAAAAUAAAAGUUUGACACAAAUGAAAAGAGAAAAGAAAGAAAAAAAAAAUUCAGUGAAAAAAGUGUCAUUGUAAAAAAAAAGAAAGAAAAAACAAAAAAAAAAAAUCACCAAUGAAAUAGGGGAGAAAAGAAAAAGAAAAGGGAGUAAAUGAAUGUAAAUUUUUAUAAGUUCUUUAAGUUUUGUUUUUGCUCUCUUAUCCUUGAGGCCUUUUGAAUUCCAAAGAAAAACAAUGAAUUUUUGUAGCCCAGCCCCAUUACAAGCUUGAUAAAGUCCUUAGUGAUCCACAACUGAUAGCAUGUUUGGUGAUAUUGCUUGGAUAAAUGUUUGAAUUGAAUUGUUGCAUGCACUUUGCUUGGAUUGAGUUAAACACUUAC
This 805-nucleotide long non-coding RNA is filed under the name Trifolium pratense (red clover). Its description in RNAcentral is "long non-coding RNA (TPRA_LNC006919)". The record is from RNAcentral. Lineage: Eukaryota; Viridiplantae; Streptophyta; Magnoliopsida; Fabales; Fabaceae.